AUUUUUAAGUCCAUUUGAAGAUAUCAGGUAAAACUGGAACGAAACAGAAAAGAUUAGCAUGAUCCUUGCCCAAGAAUAACACGCACAAAUCAAAAAAUGAUCCAAAUUAUA
RNAcentral lists this small nuclear RNA (111 nucleotides) under Nicotiana attenuata. The record is from RNAcentral. Lineage: Eukaryota; Viridiplantae; Streptophyta; Magnoliopsida; Solanales; Solanaceae.